Megalobrama amblycephala (Wuchang bream) is the source of this 371-nucleotide long non-coding RNA. RefSeq lists it as uncharacterized. The record is from RefSeq and is a predicted model, not a curated record. NCBI's taxonomy places the organism in Eukaryota, Metazoa, Chordata, Actinopteri, Cypriniformes, Xenocyprididae. The transcript is spliced from 3 exons.
UUAACAAUAAACACAAACUUUGUGUUCAAAUUCAGAGUAAAGAAGCGUCUCACCAACUACAAUGCCUGGGAUGAAGACGAUCUGACUGGCGAUCAUCGAUCCGGCCCAUACGAGAGCCAUACCGCGAAACGACUUCCUGAUCACUCUUACCCUGCGGUCAGACGGUGGAUCAUGAUGAGGAGCAGACCGUAGUGAACCACUCCGUCCCAGUAGCUCAUCAUGAUGCAGUGGGCUGUGCUCAGCAGAGCUAAUGAUGGCUCACGGUUGUCCAGGUGAAGGAGGAUUUCGAUCAUGCGGCCCUCAGACUAGAGUUUCCUCAUUCCCAAGUGGUCAAGUCGACUCGCUUUUGGAUUCAAGGCGCUGGCAGCCGG